This 699-nucleotide ribosomal RNA is filed under the name Staphylococcus aureus. RNAcentral describes it as "partial 23S ribosomal RNA". It matches the Rfam family "Bacterial large subunit ribosomal RNA", at positions 620 to 1324 of the family's 2925-position model. Lineage: Bacteria; Bacillati; Bacillota; Bacilli; Caryophanales; Staphylococcaceae. The record is from RNAcentral.
CCGGCGAGUUACGAUUUGAUGCAAGGUUAAGCAGUAAAUGUGGAGCCGUAGCGAAAGCGAGUCUGAAUAGGGCGUUUAGUAUUUGGUCGUAGACCCGAAACCAGGUGAUCUACCCUUGGUCAGGUUGAAGUUCAGGUAACACUGAAUGGAGGACCGAACCGACUUACGUUGAAAAGUGAGCGGAUGAACUGAGGGUAGCGGAGAAAUUCCAAUCGAACCUGGAGAUAGCUGGUUCUCUCCGAAAUAGCUUUAGGGCUAGCCUCAAGUGAUGAUUAUUGGAGGUAGAGCACUGUUUGGACGAGGGGCCCCUCUCGGGUUACCGAAUUCAGACAAACUCCGAAUGCCAAUUAAUUUAACUUGGGAGUCAGAACAUGGGUGAUAAGGUCCGUGUUCGAAAGGGAAACAGCCCAGACCACCAGCUAAGGUCCCAAAAUAUAUGUUAAGUGGAAAAGGAUGUGGCGUUGCCCAGACAACUAGGAUGUUGGCUUAGAAGCAGCCAUCAUUUAAAGAGUGCGUAAUAGCUCACUAGUCGAGUGACACUGCGCCGAAAAUGUACCGGGGCUAAACAUAUUACCGAAGCUGUGGAUUGUCCUUUGGACAAUGGUAGGAGAGCGUUCUAAGGGCGUUGAAGCAUGAUCGUAAGGACAUGUGGAGCGCUUAGAAGUGAGAAUGCCGGUGUGAGUAGCGAAAGACGGGUGA